ACCUCUGUGGCUCAGUACGCUAAGCUGUGGACUCCUGUUCUACAGAUCCCAGGUUCGAAUCCCGACAGUAGAGGAA
Molecule: non-coding RNA, 76 nt
Organism: Halocaridina rubra (Hawaiian volcano shrimp)
Lineage: Eukaryota; Metazoa; Arthropoda; Malacostraca; Decapoda; Atyidae
Source: the annotation of a GenBank genome assembly